This 507-nucleotide ribosomal RNA is filed under the name uncultured beta proteobacterium. RNAcentral's name for it is "bacterial SSU rRNA". It matches the Rfam family "Bacterial small subunit ribosomal RNA", at positions 523 to 1027 of the family's 1533-position model. Lineage: Bacteria; Pseudomonadati; Pseudomonadota; Betaproteobacteria. The record is from RNAcentral.
AUACAUAGGGGUCAAGCGUUGUCCGGAUUUAUUGGGCGUAAAGAGCUCGUAGGCGGUUCAACAAGUCGGUCGUAAAAGUUUAGGGCUCAACCCUAAAAUGUCGAUCGAUACUGUUGUGACUAGGAUACGGUAGAGGUGAAUGGAAUUCCUGGUGUAGCAGUGAAAUGCGUAGAUAUCAGGAGGAACACCGAUGGCGAAGGCAGCCCCCUGGGCCAUGACUGACGCUCAUGUACGAAAGCGUGGGGAGCAAACAGGAUUAGAUACCCUGGUAGUCCACGCCCUAAACGAUGUCAACUAGUUGUUGGGUCUUUUUUGACUUGGUAACGUAGCUAACGCGUGAAGUUGACCGCCUGGGGAGUACGGCCGCAAGGUUAAAACUCAAAGGAAUUGACGGGGACCCGCACAAGCGGUGGAUGAUGUGGAUUAAUUCGAUGCAACGCGAAAAACCUUACCUACCCUUGACAUGUUAGGAAUCUCUCAGAGAUGAGAGAGUGCUUGAAAAAGAAU